RNAcentral lists this transfer RNA (73 nucleotides) under Planctomycetaceae bacterium. RNAcentral describes it as "tRNA-Val". It matches the Rfam family "tRNA". Rfam says of the family: Transfer RNA (tRNA) molecules are approximately 80 nucleotides in length. Their secondary structure includes four short double-helical elements and three loops (D, anti-codon, and T loops). RNAcentral also lists the same sequence under 1 other name. The record is from RNAcentral. Lineage: Bacteria; Pseudomonadati; Planctomycetota; Planctomycetia; Planctomycetales; Planctomycetaceae.
GGGCGUUUAGCGCAGUGGCUAGCGCACUUCCUUCACACGGAAGGGGUCACAGGUUCGAUCCCUGUAACGCCCA